This 702-nucleotide long non-coding RNA is filed under the name Monodelphis domestica (gray short-tailed opossum). Its description in RNAcentral is "lncRNA (ENSMODG00000049934.1)". The record is from RNAcentral. Lineage: Eukaryota; Metazoa; Chordata; Mammalia; Didelphimorphia; Didelphidae.
GGAACUUUACAGUUCUCUGACUUCAACCAGGUCAAGAGUGUAAUACUUUUUCUAAUGACCUUUUAUAGGUGAUUGGUAAGUCCAAAAGACUUGUAAAGAGUUUCAGAAGAGGAUUUGCCUAGCUUUAGGGAUUCUUAGGAACAGAAGACAAGCAACUGAUUAUCAGAUAGAGUACUGGAUUUGCAAUCAGAAUUAUGCUCAUUUAAAUUUCACCUUUGAUACUACCUGGAUGAUACCCACCUUGAACAUGUUGGCUGGAGCAAAUAAUUGUAACAGCACUCAAGAAAUGAAUGAAUACCACAGGGAACAGCUUCAACCCCCCCCCCAUCCCUCUGCCCCUGACAACGUGUAAGUAAAUCCUGCUGUGCUCCCUGUUCACAGAAAUAUCAUUCUGACAUCACUCGUGAUCACAAAAAGAUUUCUUUUCCUAUCAUUUAACAAAAUCCCAGUACCACUUCCUCACACUUUUUUCUAAAUAGAAUCUCAGAAGCUCAUUUGAAUCUCUGGGAUUUACUGGGGUUUUUAAUUACUUACUAUUUUAUUGUAAAAUUAAAUUCUUUAGGCCACAUAGAAGCCUAGUUACUAUAAGUGUAUGUGUCACUUCUCUGAUAAUAAGCAUUUCUGAGGUGAUCAUAUAGGGGAGUCCAUAAAUCUAUAUAAAUAAUAGCAAAAAAUAAAAAGAACAUAAUAUUUAAAAGGACA